Molecule: long non-coding RNA, 439 nt
Filed under: Sarcophilus harrisii (Tasmanian devil)
Lineage: Eukaryota; Metazoa; Chordata; Mammalia; Dasyuromorphia; Dasyuridae
Description: lncRNA (ENSSHAG00000031267.1)
Source: RNAcentral
CAGAUAGCAGACCCAGGGGAAGCGAUACACCCAGCAAGAGUCCUCCAGAGCGGUCCACCGGCAGGCACAGGCAAUGUCCCCUGAGUGACAUCUCUAGCCCAAAGAGCCCUGGUGGUGACAGGAAGUAAACAAGAAAGGCCCCUGAGCUGCCAGGAUGUGUCAUGGAGUUUACACAUGAAGGUUCAUGCCUUUCACUCACAGGAGAGACUUCCAGGCUCACUUACACCUAGAAUCAAAUCUAAUCAUCUGAAUAAUUCCCCAGCCCGUGUUGGAUGGUGCUCUCCAAGACAGCCUGGAUGACGGCCUGCUGAAGAGGUUCCCGUUUUGAUCCAUCUUCUUUACCUAAAAUAUGUGAACCCAUAGAUGGAUUUAUCAAAUGUGCAGACAAUUCCAAACUAUGGGGAAUAUGCUAAUAAAUUGGGCAAAUCUUCAAUUGGUC